UACCAUGCAAGUCGAGCGGUAACAUUUCUAGCUUGCUAGAAGAUGACGAGCGGCGGACGGGUGAGUAAUGCUUGGGAACAUGCCUUGAGGUGGGGGACAACAGUUGGAAACGACUGCUAAUACCGCAUAAUGUCUACGGACCAAAGGGGGCCUCGGCUCUCGCCUUUAGAUUGGCCCAAGUGGGAUUAGCUAGUUGGUGAGGUAAUGGCUCACCAAGGCGACGAUCCCUAGCUGGUUUGAGAGGAUGAUCAGCCACACUGGGACUGAGACACGGCCCAGACUCCUACGGGAGGCAGCAGUGGGGAAUAUUGCACAAUGGGCGCAAGCCUGAUGCAGCCAUGCCGCGUGUGUGAAGAAGGCCUUCGGGUUGUAAAGCACUUUCAGUCAGGAGGAAAGGUUAGUAGUUAAUACCUGCUAGCUGUGACGUUACUGACAGAAGAAGCACCGGCUAACUCCGUGCCAGCAGCCGCGGUAAUACGGAGGGUGCGAGCGUUAAUCGGAAUUACUGGGCGUAAAGCGUACGCAGGCGGUUUGUUAAGCGAGAUGUGAAAGCCCCGGGCUCAACCUGGGAACUGCAUUUCGAACUGGCAAACUAGAGCGUGAUAGAGGGUGGUAGAAUUUCAGGUGUAGCGGUGAAAUGCGUAGAGAUCUGAAGGAAUACCGACGGCGAAGGCAGCCACCUGGGUCAACACUGACGCUCAUGUACGAAAGCGUGGGGAGCAAACAGGGUUAGAUACCCUGGUAG
This 745-nucleotide ribosomal RNA is filed under the name uncultured Pseudoalteromonas sp. RNAcentral describes it as "bacterial SSU rRNA". It matches the Rfam family "Bacterial small subunit ribosomal RNA", at positions 52 to 793 of the family's 1533-position model. Lineage: Bacteria; Pseudomonadati; Pseudomonadota; Gammaproteobacteria; Alteromonadales; Pseudoalteromonadaceae. The record is from RNAcentral.